This 1508-nucleotide long non-coding RNA is filed under the name Gallus gallus (chicken). The record is from RNAcentral. Lineage: Eukaryota; Metazoa; Chordata; Aves; Galliformes; Phasianidae.
CAGGAAGGUCUGCUUACUACCUCUACUUUUAUGCAGCCUCUCCAAAAGCAAGUGAGAGGAGAAAAUGCUCAGAAGCAGAUGCUGCAGAACCUGCUGUGGGCUGCUGCUGAACUUCUGUCCUUGGUGCCUGAUAAGCUCUUCACUAAGUCAAGAGUGAAAGUGGGAAAGCAGUGUACCUCCUGCUCAUCUGAUCACUUGUAUUCACACCUUUGGGAUUUCAGUGGAUUUUUCCCUGGGAUUUCAGUAGGAUUUCAGUGAGCUUUUGUAAGGUGUGUGUGUGUGUGUGUGAAAUACUGACACUUUUUCUUUGUAUUGUUGAUGGACUCUGCUGCAUUGAGCAAUGGGACUGGUCCUCUCGUCUCCACAGAGAGCGCUGCUGGCUGUCUCAAAUUUCCUUCUCCCAUUGAUUCUGAAGUUCUUUCUCCUAAUGAAGUUGUCAAAACUUGCUUCUGUUUCUUUCUCCCCCCUCACUUUAGCCUUUUUUUUCCUAGUGGUAGCUGAACAGUACUUUGCCACUGCUUGGAUUAUACCUAAAUUUCAUUUAUGUUUGUUCAUUUGAUGAAUGAAGCUCAAGGCCUGGACUCAACUAAAAUGGAUGCUCUUACCUGGCUCCAUCUCUUCACUUAUCUUCUGCCUGGCAAUGUUUCCAGUGGUGACUGGCUGAACACUGGUCCAAAUAUGAACAGGAUGUUUGCAGUUGGAGGCUGAAGGCAUGAUCAGGAUGGUGUGUGUUCCGUUUUGUUCAACUCUAUAUAACAGUUAGGGGAAUGGAUGUAUUCCCAACUGCUUCAGAUAGCUUUAAUAUUAACAAUAGUAAAAAAUGUGCAUUUGACUAAAACACAACACGCAGGGACUGUGUACUUAUCAAAAGUGUGAAAAGCCUGGUAGCAGAGUGCUGAAUAUUGUGACUAUUGCUUUUUGUGUGCUUUCUUCUGGCUGCCAGUAUGAGCUUGGCCUGCAGAUAUUGGGAAAAAAAAAAAACCAAACAAAACACACUUCAAAAUGCAGGAGCUUUAAUUUUAAAGUUGUAGGCGUUUCAGUUGCCUUUGCCUAAAGUAGUUUAAAUUAUAUUUUGUGCUGUUCACAGGCCUUUUCCAGUGAAUGGGCUUGCAGAAUAUAAGGAUGCAUUGCAAUACUUGAUAAGCUUAGGCUUUAUGCCAUUAUUUAUAUUAUGUGACACUAGGUAGAAGGGUUAUUCUAACCUGUACUUUGAUUUGAGGUUCACAAUAUCAAGGAGUAUUUGUAUUUCACUAUCUAAUUGAGAGUUGAGUGAGUCUGUGAUGAAGGAACUUCAUUAAUUUCUGUUAGGAACCUGAUUUUCUUUUGCUCAGUAACUGAUAAACCCUUUUACUUUGGAUUCAUGAACUUUUUUAACUUUUUGUCUCAGUGUCCAUGAAAGGUUACAUUAGAGCAAAAUUUGUCUACUUAAGUUUUCUGGUAGACUUAAAGGACUUUGGGAUCAGUCUGUGUUAGGACAAAUGUAAGGGAAAAUGGGAAGAGAGAUUGUG